AGACAUGGUGGACGCGGGUCGAGGUGCAGUAUCUGUUUUUAUCGGCUUGAUAUCUGAUACGAGUUGUAUUCGGACCCAAGUUAUUAAGCUUGUUUUUGCAAGUUGUCGGAGUGCUUGAUGCCUGCUCCACCUACGCCGCGAAUCAGCCCGGUAUUGCACUAUCUUCGGGAUCGGCCCACGUUCU
Dermacentor albipictus is the source of this 184-nucleotide small nuclear RNA. RefSeq annotates it as U2 spliceosomal RNA. NCBI's taxonomy places the organism in Eukaryota, Metazoa, Arthropoda, Arachnida, Ixodida, Ixodidae. The record is from RefSeq and is a predicted model, not a curated record.